This 76-nucleotide transfer RNA is filed under the name bacterium (Candidatus Gribaldobacteria) CG02_land_8_20_14_3_00_41_15. RNAcentral describes it as "tRNA-Lys". It matches the Rfam family "tRNA". Rfam says of the family: Transfer RNA (tRNA) molecules are approximately 80 nucleotides in length. Lineage: Bacteria; Candidatus Gribaldobacteria. The record is from RNAcentral.
GCACCGUUAGCUCAAUUGGUAGAGCAGAUCCCUCUUAAGGAUAAGGCUACAGGUUCGAUUCCUGUACGGUGCACCA